Molecule: non-coding RNA, 28 nt
Filed under: Rattus norvegicus (Norway rat)
Lineage: Eukaryota; Metazoa; Chordata; Mammalia; Rodentia; Muridae
Source: RNAcentral
UCUGAUGAUGGCCUUCCGUUCUGUGCAC